UCUACGGGUGGCUGCAGUGGGGAAUAUUGGACAAUGGGCGAAAGCCUGAUCCAGCCAUGCCGCGUGUGUGAAGAAGGCCUUCGGGUUGUAAAGCACUUUCAGUGGGGAAGAAAGCCUUGGGGCUAAUACCCUCGAGGAAGGACAUCACCCACAGAAGAAGCACCGGCUAACUCCGUGCCAGCAGCCGCGGUAAUACGGAGGGUGCGAGCGUUAAUCGGAAUUACUGGGCGUAAAGCGCGCGUAGGCGGUCUGAUAAGCCGGUUGUGAAAGCCCCGGGCUCAACCUGGGAACGGCAUCCGGAACUGUCAGGCUAGAGUGCAGGAGAGGAAGGUAGAAUUCCCGGUGUAGCGGUGAAAUGCGUAGAGAUCGGGAGGAAUACCAGUGGCGAAGGCGGCCUUCUGGACUGACACUGACGCUGAGGUGCGAAAGCGUGGGUAGCAAACAGGAUUAGAUACCCGAGGUAGUC
This 466-nucleotide ribosomal RNA is filed under the name Vreelandella stevensii. Its description in RNAcentral is "partial 16S ribosomal RNA". It matches the Rfam family "Bacterial small subunit ribosomal RNA", at positions 338 to 795 of the family's 1533-position model. Lineage: Bacteria; Pseudomonadati; Pseudomonadota; Gammaproteobacteria; Oceanospirillales; Halomonadaceae. The record is from RNAcentral.